GAACGAGGGAUUCGUGAUGAUUCACGAGUCCCUUUUGUUUUGUGGAGGUAUAUGAUGAAGAAAAAACUCGCGGUAAUUCUGUUUGGGCUGAUUUCCCUUGGCAUCGGAUUGCUGCUGCUGCAUCUCUCCCCCGACCCGAUGGCUGAGAACCUGGAGCUGGCACGGGAAGCCUCGAAUGCUCAGGAAGCGGCGGCGGCGAUUUCCGCCAAUAACAAAAAGGAUGUUGUUUACAGCACGGUCGCUUAUCUCUUUGUCGGCAUUGGAUUCGGCACAGCGGGCUACGGUGUUUUUAUGAGUGGAAAAAAGGAAGAUUCUGAGGAAAAAUCCUAAAAUAUCCUUGUAUCGUCAGUAUACUUUGACUAUAAUAUGUGCCAGCUAUCUUUUUCAAUGCAGUGAAAGAAAUCCAUGAUUUCUUCGGGAGGUACUUUCAUGA
Molecule: ribosomal RNA, 433 nt
Filed under: Centipeda flueggei ATCC 43531
Lineage: Bacteria; Bacillati; Bacillota; Negativicutes; Selenomonadales; Selenomonadaceae
Description: Selenomonas flueggei ATCC 43531 23S ribosomal RNA
Source: RNAcentral